UUCACAACAUGAGAUUUUAGAGGUUUUCAAUAGACAAAUCGGCUUUAGUUCGCCCAAAAAGUUCUCUCACAGAAUUUCCUCUUCCAAGUCGAAUACACCGAAAGAACUCGAGCCUUUGUUAAAUUACAAACUGCUGGAGGAACUUGGUUAGCAUCUCGCAUAGAAGGAAGAGUGGUUUUUACCACCAAUGUUCGUGAAAUAAGUAAACUUACAUCUUUGGUCCCUUCAUUUGUAAUCUCCACAACAUUAAUACCACUUUUCUAAAUUAAGAUGAAAUGACCACAUGUGGGUUUGGUGUUGAUGUUAAUAGACGCUUUUGUGUUCCUAUCUUUCCCAUUUACGGUUCCAAAUAUGGAAAAAUAUAAUAUGAAAUAUUUCCGUUUUUUUAUAUUUUGAUUACUUAAUUGGUGUAGUACUAAACUAGAGAUGAAAAAAUAUACAACCAUUAGUGUGUUUAGGUUUUUAGGUAAAAAUGAUAUGACCAGGUGUGAUUGAUACUGUAUUGUUUCAUUGUCAAAUUUUUUGGUGUACUUUUAUUUGGGUUAAGUAACAUGUUAGGGAAAAGGCGGUGGCUGAGAAGGAACGAUAAAGGGUUUAACGGGAGAUAGGUUUCGGUUGAGAAAAUGGUGGAUGUAAUAAAAGAGGAUGCGUUCAUUUGGCUAAAGAAUAGGUCCAAAUCCAAGUUGAGAUUUUGUUGUGGAUAAAUGGUUAAAUUUUGCUGUUUUAGAGCUACUGUAAUUUUGUUUCAGUUGCUAGCGCCAGCAUCCGUAAUAAAAUGUAGUUAAACAAGCCGUUCAUUCCUACAUUCGUUAUAAAAUAUAAUUUGUAUUGUUUA
Molecule: long non-coding RNA, 835 nt
Organism: Helianthus annuus (common sunflower)
Lineage: Eukaryota; Viridiplantae; Streptophyta; Magnoliopsida; Asterales; Asteraceae
Exons: 2
Source: RefSeq, a predicted model, not a curated record